RNAcentral lists this unclassified non-coding RNA (380 nucleotides) under uncultured Pseudomonadota bacterium. Its description in RNAcentral is "uncultured proteobacterium contains 16S-23S intergenic spacer region". Lineage: Bacteria; Pseudomonadati; Pseudomonadota. The record is from RNAcentral.
UCCCCGUUAUCCUGGGCAGUCCUUCCAGAGUUCCCGGCAUAACCCGUUGGCAACUGGAAGCAGGGGUUGCGUUCGUUGCGGGACUUAACCCAACAUCUCACGACACGAGCUGACGACAGCCAUGCAGCACCUGUGUUCCGGGCUCCGAAGAGAAGGUCACAUCUCUGCGACCGGUCCCGGACAUGUCAAGGGCUGGUAAGGUUCUUCGCGUUGCUUCGAAUUAAACCACAUAAUCCACCGCUUGUGCGGGUCCCCGUCAAUUCCUUUGAGUUUUAACCUUGCGGCCGUACUCCCCAGGCGGUCGACUUCACGCGUUAGCUUCGUUACUGAGAGUGUCAAACCCCCAACAACCAGUCGACAUCGUUUAGGGCGUGGACUAC